UGAAACCAAACUGACAAAAGAAAAACAACUUCAGAAAUCGAUUCCCUCAGUGCCUACUAACCAAAUUCGGCACAAGCACAACCCCCAGUCGAAACUUCUAGCUAGAGUUUUCCCCAAAUGGCACAGCUCUCCUCACAGCUCUCCUCACAUAACAACUCCUUGAAUUUCUCCUAAAAUUUCUCCCCUUAUCUCUACUUGAUUCAUUCCACCCAAUCACAAUCCUACUAUUCUCUCCCUAAUUCACUCCUCCAUUCAAAUUCCACAGCAUUUCAGUCAAACUCCACCACCUCACAGCACAAGUGAUAAAAAUAAACACUCCACAG
This 323-nucleotide long non-coding RNA is filed under the name Gossypium raimondii (Peruvian cotton). Its description in RNAcentral is "long non-coding RNA (GRAI_LNC003743)". The record is from RNAcentral. Lineage: Eukaryota; Viridiplantae; Streptophyta; Magnoliopsida; Malvales; Malvaceae.